This 385-nucleotide ribosomal RNA is filed under the name uncultured bacterium. RNAcentral describes it as "bacterial SSU rRNA". It matches the Rfam family "Bacterial small subunit ribosomal RNA", at positions 28 to 417 of the family's 1533-position model. The record is from RNAcentral.
GACGAACGCUGGCGGCGUGCUUAACACAUGCAAGUCGAGCGGUAAGGCCCUUUCGGGGUACACGAGCGGCGAACGGGUGAGUAACACGUGGGUGACCUGCCCUCAGCUCUGGGAUAAGCCUGGGAAACCGGGUCUAAUACCGGAUAUGACUCCAUGACGCAUGUUGUGGGGUGGAAAGCCUUGUGCGGCUGAGGGUGGGCCCGCGGCCUAUCAGCUUGUUGGUGGGGUGAUGGCCUACCAAGGCGACGACGGUAGCCGGCCUGAGAGGCGACCGGCCACACUGGGACUGAGACACGGCCCAGACUCCUACGGGAGGCAGCAGUGGGGAAUCUUGCGCAAUGGGCGAAAGCCUGACGCAGCGACGCCGCGUGAGGGAUGACGGCCU